CUUGGAGCUAUAUUGUGAAGCAGUACAGUGUAAAAUCUAAUAUUGUGUUUAAUUAAAAAUAUUAAGUAGAUUGAACUCAAUUUUUAUCAAUUUGUUAUUAGAACUCAGUUUAAGUAAGUUACCAGUACUUUUUAUUCAAAAAAGAUGAUCAACUCAAUUUAUUUGAGUUUUCUGAACUUAGAAAACCUAAGUAAGCUGGAAAAUGCCACGUCACUACCUUCCUCCUCCCUCGCAUGGAUCAGUCCGCAUGUUCGUGGUGCCGCAUUUUUUUCUGGAAUAUGUUGAGCAAACCUGGAGAAGCUUCAGCUCAAGAGAUUAUUGUUGUCAUUGCUGUGGAUCUUUACCCGAUACACCGAUUUGGCUUUGAUGACCAAUCAGACGCCAGUAAAGAUGGGCUGGUGCAUAGAGGAGGGUCACUUUCUUUAGGUUAUAUUAAUCCAUCGUUCCCCUGCUCCACUCAGAAGGACAGAGACUCAGGAUGGCCCGGCCUCUGCAGCUCAUUAUCGUGGUCUCCUCCUUAAUAGCUGCCUCUCUGUGUGAUGUCUGUGUGGAAGCUGUUUUAGGAAGACAGUUCACAUUUCCAGAAAACUGCAGCAAUGAUGGAGGAAAACUGUUUCGGUGUGAGCCGCAUGGGGAGGUGGAGGUGGCUGUUCACCAGCAAGGUGUGUGGACACCUGCUCAAGGCUACGAAGACCGUAUCAGUAACAAUUCCUCCAUUAUCUUCUAUCACGCAUUUUCCAAUGAUAGCGGGGAUUUUGUGUUAAGGUGUAGAGAAGGCGCGCAAAUUAAAAUUAAAGUUAAAGUUCUGCUUCCCUUUAAUGUAACAGUCAACGAGGGAGAAAAGGCCACCUUCCCGUGCUUUUAUCAACCUACCUGCAGCAAGUCUGAGACUGCACAGUGUGUGAAAAACGGGCAGAAUUUCACCAGAGACAAAGGAAACAAGUGUGCUGAUGGCCGACUCUCUCUGUCACCUAAACGAGACUGUUGCCCAAACGUAACACGAGCUGAGAAGCAAGACGGAGGAGAUUAUUUUUGUUACAUCCAGUGUGGAGGGAAACGGUUCGCAGCUGUUGUGAGGCUAAAGGUCAACGGGGCAUCCACUUCACCGCCUGCGUCUAAACCACAACAAGCCUGA
Molecule: long non-coding RNA, 1135 nt
Filed under: Oreochromis niloticus (Nile tilapia)
Lineage: Eukaryota; Metazoa; Chordata; Actinopteri; Cichliformes; Cichlidae
Description: lncRNA (ENSONIG00000033101.1)
Source: RNAcentral